RNAcentral lists this ribosomal RNA (254 nucleotides) under uncultured prokaryote. RNAcentral's name for it is "partial 16S ribosomal RNA". It matches the Rfam family "Bacterial small subunit ribosomal RNA", at positions 524 to 777 of the family's 1533-position model. The record is from RNAcentral.
UACGUAGGUGGCAGGCGUUGUUCGGAAUGACUGGGCGUAAAGGGCGUGUAGGUGGACUGAUCAGUCGGGUGUGAAAUAUCCAGGCUCAACCUGGAGGGUGCAUCCGAUACGGUCAGUCUUGAGUGCAGGAGAGGGCAGUGGAAUUCCCAGUGUAGCGGUGAAAUGCGUAGAUAUUGGGAGGAACACCAGUGGCGAAGGCGGCUGCCUGGACUGUAACUGACACUGAGGCGCGAAAGCGUGGGGAGCAAACAGGA